RNAcentral lists this ribosomal RNA (430 nucleotides) under uncultured bacterium. Its description in RNAcentral is "partial 16S ribosomal RNA". It matches the Rfam family "Bacterial small subunit ribosomal RNA", at positions 338 to 795 of the family's 1533-position model. The record is from RNAcentral.
CCUACGGGAGGCAGCAGUGGGGAAUAUUGCGCAAUGGGCGAAAGCCUGACGCAGCAACGCCGCGUGCGGGAAGAAGGCUCUCGGGUCGUAAACCGCUUUAAGCAGGGACGCGGUACCUGCAGAAGAAGCCCCGGCUAACUACGUGCCAGCAGCCGCGGUAAUACGUAGGGGGCAAGCGUUGUCCGGAUUUAUUGGGCGUAAAGAGCGUGUAGGCGGCUUGGUAGUCUUGCGUCAAAACCUGAGGCUCAACCUCAGUUCGCGUGGGAAACAAUCUAGCUAGAGUCCGGAAGAGGAGAACGGAAUUCCCAGUGUAGCGGUGAAAUGCGCAGAUAUUGGGAAGAACACCAGUGGCGAAGGCGGUUCUCUGGGACGGACUGACGCUGAGACGCGAAAGCGUGGGGAGCGAACAGGAUUAGAUACCCUUGUAGUC